This 91-nucleotide ribosomal RNA is filed under the name Brassia gireoudiana. Its description in RNAcentral is "partial 26S ribosomal RNA". It matches the Rfam family "Eukaryotic large subunit ribosomal RNA", at positions 1 to 90 of the family's 3401-position model. Lineage: Eukaryota; Viridiplantae; Streptophyta; Magnoliopsida; Asparagales; Orchidaceae. The record is from RNAcentral.
GCGACCCCAGGAUGGGCGAGGUCACCCGCCGAGUUUAAGCAUAUCAAUAAGCGGAGGAGAAGAAACUUACGAGGAUUCCCUUAGUAACGGC